Molecule: ribosomal RNA, 531 nt
Filed under: Lacihabitans soyangensis
Lineage: Bacteria; Pseudomonadati; Bacteroidota; Cytophagia; Cytophagales; Leadbetterellaceae
Description: bacterial SSU rRNA
Rfam family: Bacterial small subunit ribosomal RNA
Source: RNAcentral
UUACUAUGGAGAGUUUGAUCCUGGCUCAGGAUGAACGCUAGCGGCAGGCUUAAUACAUGCAAGUCGAGGGGGCAGCAAUGUCACCGGCGAACGGGUGCGUAACGCGUAUGCAACCUACCUACAUCAGGGGGAUAGCCCUAGGAAACUGGGAUUAAUACCGCAUAAUAUUGGAUAUGGCAUCAUAACCAAUUGAAAUAUUUAUAGGAUGUAGAUGGGCAUGCGUAGGAUUAGCUAGUUGGUAAGGUAACGGCUUACCAAGGCUACGAUCCUUAGGGGCUCUGAGAGGAGUAUCCCCCACACUGGCACUGAGAUACGGGCCAGACUCCUACGGGAGGCAGCAGUAGGGAAUAUUGGGCAAUGGAGGCAACUCUGACCCAGCCAUGCCGCGUGCAGGAAGACGGUCCUCUGGAUUGUAAACUGCUUUUGAAUGGGAAGAAUGUGCUCCUUGCGAGGGGUAAUGACGGUACCAUUAGAAUAAGCCACGGCUAACUACGUGCCAGCAGCCGCGGUAAUACGUAGGUGGCGAGCGUU